Molecule: long non-coding RNA, 403 nt
Organism: Oncorhynchus keta (chum salmon)
Lineage: Eukaryota; Metazoa; Chordata; Actinopteri; Salmoniformes; Salmonidae
Exons: 3
Source: RefSeq, a predicted model, not a curated record
CUUUUUCUUUGGAGGAAAGUGACUCUAUUUUCCUCCUUUCUAUCAGGACAUUUCAAACAGUGGGAGAAUGAAAGCAGCUUCCACGAACCCAAAAAUCCUUCCAGAAAAUGAAGAAUGAUAUAAGGAAGUACAUCUGGUGUUUGGGUGAAAGAUAAGAUGUGCCCCUGGUGUUGUGAACUCAAACAGACUGUUACUGCUGGAUGGCAGCCUUACCUGGUUUCCAGUUUACCCUAAUUGUUUCUUAUUGGUUUCACCUGUGUUUGAUUGCCCUCUCUGUUCACCUGAUUGCCUGGCUAUUUAGGUUCCUCUGUUGGCCUGGAUCCUUGCUUAUGUCUUAUGUUUUGUUUAGUGCACUCUUGUGCUAUUGCCUUGUUUCUGUCAAUACUUUAAGUAAAGAUCUGGA